AACUUUUGGCAACGGAUCUCUUGGUUCUGGCAUCGAUGAAGAACGCAGCGAAAUGCGAUAAGUAAUGCGAAUUGCAGAAUUUCCGUGAGUCAUCGAAUCUUUGAACGCACAUUGCGCCCACUGGUAUUCCGGUGGGCAUGCCUGUUCGAGCGUCAUUAUCCUCCCUCAAACCCCGUGUUUGGUGUUGGGCCCGCGUUCCUGCGAAGGAACUGGCCUCAAAGACAAUGACGGCGUCCGCGGGACCCUCGGUGCAACGAGCUUUCAGGAGCACGCGCCGAGUUUCAAGGUCCCUCCGGGCCGGUCUAACCCUUUUUUACUUCUAAGGUUGACCUCGGAUCAGGUAGGAAUACCCGCUGAACUUAAGCAUAUCAAUAAGCGGAGGCU
RNAcentral lists this unclassified non-coding RNA (384 nucleotides) under uncultured Exophiala. RNAcentral describes it as "sequence contains ITS2". The stretch from base 1 to 155 matches the Rfam family "5.8S ribosomal RNA". The record is from RNAcentral. Lineage: Eukaryota; Fungi; Ascomycota; Eurotiomycetes; Chaetothyriales; Herpotrichiellaceae.